UUAAAAAUAAGCUAAGUUAAGCUUUUGGGUUCAUACCUCAAAUAUAAAGAUAAUAUCUUUUUUUUAAA
This 68-nucleotide transfer RNA is filed under the name Spatalia doerriesi. RNAcentral describes it as "tRNA-Met". The record is from RNAcentral. Lineage: Eukaryota; Metazoa; Arthropoda; Insecta; Lepidoptera; Notodontidae.